Long non-coding RNA from Orcinus orca (killer whale), 8268 nucleotides. RefSeq lists it as uncharacterized. Lineage: Eukaryota; Metazoa; Chordata; Mammalia; Artiodactyla; Delphinidae. The transcript has 2 exons. The record is from RefSeq and is a predicted model, not a curated record.
AGUUAAGUUCAAUGGCCUCUGCAAAAGGGUGGAGCUUCGGGUGUCAGGUCAGGGAGACCGCCCCCAAAAGAAAUGUCAAGGCUCGAUUGGUGGAGACUUGGAGAGUAGAGAAAGGAGCGUAUCAGCGGUGAAGAGGGAAGAUACUUCCGCUGGGAUUGCCCAAUCGCAGAGGUGGAGCAGUUUCUAUAAAAGCUUGAGCCCCAGGCUUCUGCGUUCUUUCCGAAUCAAGUACGAGGUCGUAAGGUUUGUUUUUCGUUUUUCCGUACGUCACGGUCAAGGGAGGAACCGGGCCCAGAGCGGGUUGGGGAAGUGGCCCAAACCUGCCAACCUAGACCCCGGGUCCAGCCUCCGCCUGAAACCCAUCUUGGUCCUCAGCAUUCUACACGUUUCUGACCCCAGUUCCGUCGGGAAGUCGCAAUCUCCAGAUCUGUUUCCCUGUAUAGGACUGUCGGUGAUCCGGCUGGAGACCUUGAGGUAAAUCAGCAUCAGUCUAGGGGCCUUGGUCCCCUGACUCGGAUCCCUGGAUUCAAGGUAGAUCAUGGGCCUUGCCCAGCUGCGCGUGGAGACCUCUGGCUUCUCCCUCUCUCUGCCUUUCUUUUCUAAGGCUUCCCUCUUUGGCGGGAAGCUGGGAUUUUGCACCAUUUGGGGAAAGGAUUUCUUGAACCUCAUUCCUAAACUGCUCCCGCAACAUUGCGAAAUCCAGUGCUAUGUCGGGUAGAAUUCACAGGACUCUUCAGGUUUUAUUUUUGUUACGAAGAAAGCAGGGUGAAUGACUUUGGACUCUUCUGUUGCUUAGUCUCCUAUCUCGCCAUCUACCGACACUCCUUUGCCCUCGUGCCACCUUCCAGUGCGCCCAACUCCAGUAAUCCCACUCUGUGCAGCUCCUGUAAUCACGAGACGUGGGGAAUCAGAGAACCCUCCCGUUUUUCUAGACAGUCUUCUUUUAGCUACAUUCCAACUCUUAAGGGGGAAACAGAGCCUUUUCUACUCUACAAGUACCUGUACUUCUCCGGAUUCCCUUGGCCAAUCCCAAACCCUUCUUCCCUAUGCUCUUCUGUACCCAACGAUACCCCAGGUUGAAAGUGCUGGUCCUGCUGGAGUAAGCCAUAGUGGAACUUCCUAUCGCCCAGGACCAGGGAAAAUACGCCCACUUAGGGAAGUGGCAUAUGGCAAAGGCACAAUCAAGAGUACAUGCGCCCUUCCUCUUAACCGAUUUAGCCCAAUGCAAACAAAGACUGGGCCAAUUUUCUGAAGACCCUAGUAGGUUCACGGGGGAUUUCAGGCCCUAACCCUGGCCCUUGAUUUAACUUGGAAGGACGUCCAAAUGAUCUUACCUACCUGCUAUACCCAUGAGGAGAAGCAGAGGAUAUGGGCAGCAGCACAGGUGUACGCCGACCAGUUUGCCAGGGACCAGCCCAACAUUUAUGUCCCAAAUCAUAAGCCCAUUUGGGAUUAUAAUUGCCUGGGGGGGGGGGGAAGGCCAGGAAUCACGAGGUCCAGUGCCUAUUAGAAGGAACGAGAAAGUGCAUUUGGAAGCCAGUCAAUUAUGAAAAGGUCGAGGAAGUGACCCAAGAGGAAGAAGAAAGCCCUGUUCUCUUUCAGGGACAGCUUGUGGAGGCUUUUUAGAAAAUUUGCUAACAGAUCUCUCUGCUCCCAGGGUUCAGUCCCUGCUGCCCCUGAUAUUAGGCAAAAACUCCAAAAGUUAGUUAGGCCCACAAACUCCUAGAGGUGGCCUUUGGAAUAUUUUAUAAUGGAGAUCAAACUGAGGAAGAGGAUAGAACUCAACAUGGAAAAAGGCACGCCGAGGCUCACGCUAAACUGAUAGCUGUUGCUGUCAGCCGUGCCUUGCAACCUCAGGGCAACCCAAAGGGGGCAAGAAGGUUCAACCAUCAGUCCGGAGGCAAGACCAAGGGGGGAUGCUUUAAAUGCAAGUCACCUGACCAUUGGGCGCAUGAGUACCAGAAGAAGCUCCCGGGCCUUGCCCAGUCUGCAAACAGACCAGUCAUUGGAGAUGGGACUGCCCUUGGUCCCCAAGGGGAAUGGGGGCUCCUGCUCCUGAGAUGGCCAUGCUGGAUAACUGAAGCAGCCCAGGGAUUCUGGCGGUUCCCCCCGUCCCCACAAGAUGUCUAUCUCCUUUGAGGAGCCCCUGGUGGCAGGUAAGAUCAAUUUUUUAAAUUGAUACAGAAGCUACUUGCUCUGCCCUGAUUUCUCACGCUGGGCCUCUUUCCUCUAAAAACUGCAGUGACUGGUGUCAAUGGAAAGCCUCGUACCCUUCACUUCUCUGGGGCUCUCACUGGCCAUUUUGAACAUGCCUUUUUAGUUGAGUAUCCUACCCCACUACUAGGGAGAGAUCUUCUGGGCUCCCUCAAGGCGAUACUGUUAGGAGGCCCCGAGCAGAGCAGCCCCUUAUCUUAACCCUGGCUAAGGCAGAUCAACACAGGAGCAAGGGCUUGUUCCCAGCGAUAUUCUACAAGCAGUGAACCUUGCAGCAAACUGGACAAAGGAGUCCCUGGGAGGGCUAUAAAUGCCCAACCUGCAGAAACUAGCCUUAAGCCAGAAGCUGCUUACCCUAACCAGAGACUAGUACCCCAUUAGGUUAGGCAAAAAAGGGGUUACAACCCCUCAUACAUAAAUUUUUAAAACAUAGCCUCUUGGUUCCCUGUCAGUCUCAAUGCAAUACUCCUAUUUUGUCAGUUAAGCCUAAUGGGGGGAUAUAGGGUGUUGCAAGACCUCAGCAGUAAAAGAGGCAGUGGUUCCUAUACUCCCCCUUGUGGCCAAUUCUUAUAAUAUAUUAGCCCAAGACCUUGUAAAUGCUAAAUGGUUUACUGUGCUCAACCUCAAGGAUGCCGCCUUUUACAUCCCAGUUCAUCCCUCACAAUAUUUGUUUGCCUUCGAGUGGACUAACCCCCACUCGGGCCAGAUGCAACAAUACACCUGGACAACACUACCUACCAUGGGUUUGGGGGCAGCUCACAGUGUUUGCCCAGGCCCUGGGAAAGGAACCAAGGGAAAUAGGCCUAAAAGGGGCUAUGCUACAGCAUGCAGAUGAUAUAUUAAUAUGUAGCCCCACCGUGGAGGCUCAAGUGAGAACAUCAUUGAAGUUCUUAAUUUCCUUGAGGUCCAGGGUUACAGGAUCUCCCAGAAAAAGGCACAAAUCUCAAUGCAACAAGUUAAAUACAUGGGACACAUUAUAAACCCUGGAAGUAGACAGCUGUCGCAAGAUAGAAAUGAGUAUGUUAGGCCUAAGUGCCCCAAAGACGUUUCUUUGUACCUUUUUACAAAGGUAAAAAGGCAGGGUUUUGCUGACUCUUGAUCCCAGGGUUUGGGCUAAUGUCUAAGCUCCUGUAUGAAGCCAUUAAAAGCCCAGAUACCGAACCAUUACUUCGGGCUGAGGAACACAGGAAAAGGCUUUUAAUAGUAUCAAACAGGUCCUCAUUAAAGCUCCUGCUCUGGGUCUCCUCAGUUUUAAAAAGCCAUUCAUUUUGUAAGAAGUCCUAACCCCCUAAAAGCUCUGGGCGACCUAAAAGAAACUAGAAGUUCCUCGGCCAAUAGGCUAUUUUUCCACACAACUAGAUGGUGUGCCCUGAGGUUGGCCUGGCUGCUUUCGGCCAGCAGCUGCCACCACUUUAUCAGUGGAAGAAGCUAACAAGCUUACCUUGGACGGCCACUGGAAGUCCAGACCCCCGCCCCCCAACAUCAAGUACAAAGGUUUCUAGAGAUCAAAGGCCACCACUGGCUAACUGGAGGCCACUGUACUAAGUACCAGGGUUUACUUGACUCCCCAGAGGUAACUCCCAACACUGAGAAAAACGGAACCCUCUUAACACUGUUGGUGGGAAUGUAAAUUGGUGCAGCCACUAUGGAAAACAGUAUGGAGGUUCCUAAAACUACAGUUGCCAUAGGAUCCUACAAUCCCACUCCUGGACAUAUACCCAGACAAAACUAUAAUUUGAAAAGAUACAUGCACCCCAGUGUUCACUGCAGCACUAUUUGCAACAGCCAAGACGUGGAAACAACCUAAAUGUCCAGUAGAGUAGUGGAUAAAGAUGUAGAUAUAUACAAUGGAAUACUACUCAGCCAUUAAAAAGAAUGAAAUAAUGCCAUUUGCAGCAACAUGGAUGGACCUAGAAAUACUAAGCGGAGUAAGUUAGACAUACCAUAUGAUUUAUUUGUGGAAUCCAAACUACACAAAGGAACAUCUGUGAAAAACAGGCUCAGAGAAAAGACUUGUGGUGGCUUGGGGGAGGGAAGGACUAGGAGUUUGGGGUUAGAUGCAAACUAAUAUAUAGAAUAGAUAAACAGGGUACUGUAUAGCACAAGAAACUGUAUUCAGUAUCUUGUAAUAAACCAUAACGGAAAAGAUGGAAAAGUAUAUACAUAUAAGUGAAUCACUUUGCUGUACACCAGAAACUAACAACAUUGUAAAUCAACUCUAUGUCAAUAAAAUUAACUUGCUACACCCUCAACCCAACUACACUGAUGCCUGCUGAAAUCCCAAAGGUAAUACAUUCCUACCUUGACCAGGUUUAUCCCUAUAGGCCUGAUAUGACAGAUCAAGACAUUGAUAAUCCUGAGGAAGAAUGGUUUACUGAUGGCAGUUCAUUAAGGACGGGCUCAGGAGGGUAGAGCAUCAUAGAGGUGAAAACUUUUGCUGCCCAUGGCAGCCCAGAAGGCCGAACUCUAACCCAAACCUUAAUCCUAGGGGAAGGAAAAAUUGUAAGCAUACUCUAAAUAAGCCUACCUUGUUCUACAUGCCAAUGGAGCUAUAUGGAAAGAGGACUUGAAUGCAAAAUAUUCCCCUGUAAAGUAUGGGGCUGAGAUCUCACAGAGGCAGCUCAAAAACCAAGCAAAUCAAGUAACAGUCAUUCACUGCCAUGGACACCAAAAGGGAAUCUCCCAAAUUAUCAAAGGGAACAAUAGGGCAGAAGGAGAAGCAGAGAUAGUCCUGAUACAACAAAUGACAAUCCCAUCCCUUACCCCUUACAACAUGCCCAGGUACUACUGAGGAAACCUGGGCGCAAGAAAAAGGGUGAACUAAGGGAACAGAAGGCUGGUGAUGCAUCAAAAAUUGCUUUUUCUGGCCAAUGGAAAAUCAAAGGGCUACGUGAUUUUUCUCCAUCUGGGGAAGGAUACUGUGUACAGUGGUUUUCUGGCUUUUCAUGAGAAAAUGACUCCCAGAUGUUAAAGGGUUACUUGAGCCUGUGCCCUGUGCCACCCAUAAAUAAGGAGGGCAUCUCAAACCCCACCCCCCUUUUGUUAGCCCAGUCCAGCAACGUGGGCCUCUCCCAGGAGAGGACUGCCAAAUGGAUUUCACUCAGAUGGCCUCUUUCCAGGGCUUCAAAUAUUAGUCUUUGUGGCUAGUUUUACUGGAUGGGUGGAGGCCUUUCCCACUAGGAGAGAAAAGGCAACUGAAGUGGCUAGAGCACUUCUGAAGGAAAUUAUCCCUAGGUUUGGGUUGCCCUGACACCUCCAGAUUGACAGUGGACCCUCAAUUCAUAGCAAAGGUUACCCAAAAGACCCUAGGAAAUAGAUACUACCUUUAUUUGUCCUGCAGACCUCAGUCCUCAGGAAAGGUGGAACAGACCAGUCAUACCCUAAAGAAAACCUUGGGUAAGCUCUUAGCAGGAAAUAUCAGAACCUGGUAAUAGCAGGUGGUGCCACCUGCUGCCAGCGGGGCAGCCCCUAAAAUAACUAGGUUGAGCACCUUUGAAAUGACAUGGUAGGCUAUUCCUCACCCUGGACAUGGUAACCAGCUGAGAAAGCUAGGCACACCUUAAAUACAUUAUUAACCUGGGCCAGGUCGGAAGGGGGCUAUUCAAGAAUGGAAACAGUUCAGCUCUCCCCAGAUAACAGCCCCAGUUACUCCAGUGUAAACCCUGGGUACUGGGUGCUCUUAAAGACCUGGAAAAUGAGUCCCCUGGUGACCAGCUACUCCCAAAGCAAAACAGUCUUUUAUCAAGUUUUGGUAAGCACCCCUACAGUGGUUAAACUUAAUGGAGUCACUAGUUGGGUUCAUCUACCCAGAAUUAAACCUGUUUCCACUGAUCUGUUACAGGAACCUGAAGACCCACAUCCCAGCUAUUCCUGUGAACCUGCCCAAGACCUCAAAUACCUCUUCAAGAAGGUGAUCCCCAAGCCAGUGACAACUGCAUUGAUAAGUAAACUCUCACUUUGACAUUAAUUUAUUUCGGGCUCUCUGGGUAACAAAAGCAAGAUAAGUGACGGUAGGCUGGGAGCCCAUAUUUGUUACUGGGCUCUUGUUUACUGCAGGAUUUCUUUCAACACUACUUGCAUUCCGGUUGCUUCCUAAAUUAGAACUCUGAUGUCAUUAUGAAGUUAUUAGUCACCCCAACUUUUCUCCCCCUCCUUUGGGGAUUCAUGUCAGGGGAGUGAGGAUCCAACGCAAUAGUAAAUCUCAAGAAUUAUUGUUCAGGGAGAGAAUCUGUCUCAGUGCUGGGUUCUAACAUCCCAAUCCUCAAAGCGACGCCUAUAAGCUUAAAGAACUAAGCUACACAUCCAGUAAUGAUGACCUUGAACUUACUCUGGCUGAAGGUCCUGCAACCCCUGCUCCCCUCAGUCCACAUCCAGCCCUUGGCACAGCUUCCAUGCCUGGACCUGACCCCUCUCGUUAGUGCAUCCAGCACACAAAGCUCCCCCCAUCAAAGCAUAUUUGUCUUCUACUCUGUCAUGAAGGUAACUCAUCUUGCUGCCCAUGCCAGAAGCCUGGACUAAAUUCUGCAAUGCACCAGCAGUUGACAUCACCGCCAUUACCCCUAAUUUUAAUUGCGAAGAUCAAACAGUUAACGCCACCCAUUGGUUCCUCCAAGAUCAGCUGGCUGGUGGGAUGUGUCUCCUGGACAGGCCUGGCGCCAAGCGUCUAACACAUAUCUUCCCUGCGUGUAGUACAUGUUUUUUGCCUCUCCCAAAGCCUUCGAAAAGACUCAUACACCCUUAUUCAGUGGUGGGAUCCUUUCUUCCAACUGUACUGGAACCCCCCCCCUUGGGCAGACUCUACUGAAGUGGUUUAAUUCCACAACAGUAUGUCAGGCAUGUGCCCCUCCCAGACAUCUAUUCCUUUGUGGUCCAGGUGCAAACUGACUGUCCUCUUCAAAAAACCCCAAUUCCUCUUUCCCUUUCCUGGGAUUAGCUGUGGCCUUUCCUUGUAUAGACAGUGCUCUGUUUACGGGACAAUGUAACACUAGGCCAACUGAGUAACCAAAGAAACCCAGGUAUUGCCAUCUAUAACAUCACCCACCUCUGGGGCAAAAGGGCAAUUGGUCUCCUUUCGGCAGAAAAUGGAGCUGCCAUUGGUUUGGUGGCCCCUUGGGGAAGCUUUGUUUAUCGUGAAGUGGUGCUCUACAAUCUUUCAGAUGCCCUGUCCUGAGUGAAUCCACAGGGAAUGCACUCACCAGACUCUCAUUGUCUCUAAGUUCCUUGGCUAGUAAAGUGAUGGCUAAUAGACUGGCCUUAGACUUCCUCCUAGCCAAACAAGGAGGAGUAUGUGCAGUUAUCAAGACAUGUUGCACCUACAUCAAUAACUCUGGGCUAGUAGAAGAGGACGUCAAGAAAAUGUGACCACGCCAAAUGGCUUCAUUCCUUCAGACAGGGUAACCCAAGCGCUGACCUAGACUGCAAUUAAGGAGAUGUUACCAAGUGAGACCUGGUUCUUGCCCCCUGCUUGGACCUCUAGUUGCCAUAAUCCUUUUACUGAACUUUGGCCCCUGCCUUUUUAAUCUGCUUGUUAAGUUUGCUUCCAGGUUGCAACAGUUCCACAUCAAGAUGAUGGUGAUGUAGGGAUUCCAGCCAUUCCCUGAAUAGAUCGUACUGGAAUAGCAGAAGUCACCCUGGGGCCCCUGGACAAAACAGGGCAAGAGUUCCGUGGCCCCAAUUAGGUAGGGUCCAUGAGCCCAGUGCCAGCCUGAAGAAGCUACAGAAGACAGACCUCCGCCCCUCAUCCUCCCAAUAAAGAGUUCUUGGGGUCCUCGUCACUUGGGAGAUUUGAGGUAAGAGAUAGGUGGCUGAGCAGCUGCAACCAUUUCUCCUGCUGACACUUCAAGAUAAGGUAGUAGCAGGAGCUUCGGGCCCUGACUGGGUGGAAGACAAAGUAACCACAGUUUCCUCAUUCUUGUGGGUCAAGGGGAUUUUCCAGCCCAACACAUCUGUUUCACAGUCUUGGUCUCUUCUGGAUUCUUGGUCUCGUUGGAUUCUGUUCUCAAAGACAUCUAUAAGUCUCUGAAGUGCUUAGCAAUAAAGCAAAGGUGGUGAGUU